RNAcentral lists this ribosomal RNA (1356 nucleotides) under uncultured Parcubacteria group bacterium. RNAcentral describes it as "bacterial SSU rRNA". It matches the Rfam family "Bacterial small subunit ribosomal RNA", at positions 15 to 1378 of the family's 1533-position model. The record is from RNAcentral.
GAUCCUGGCUCAAGAUGAACGCUAGCGGCGCGCUUAAUGCAUGCAAGUCGAGCGAUGAGGCCCUCUUCGGGGGGUACAUCAGCGGCAGACGGGUGAGUAACACGUAGGUGAUCUACCCCAGAGACGGGGAUAACGGGUGGAAACAUCCGCUAAUACCGGAUAGGCUUGUUCGGUCAAAGGGACAAGGAAAGGCUCCGGCGCUCUGGGAGGAGCCUGCGGCCCAUCAGCUAGUUGGCGGGGUAACGGCCCACCAAGGCAAAGACGGGUAGGGGGUGUGAGAGCAUGGCCCCCCACAAUGGGACUGGAACACGGCCCAUACUCCUACGGGAGGCUGCAGUCAAGAACCUUCCACAAUGGGGGAAACCCUGAUGGAGCGACGCUGCGUGCGGGAUGACGGCCUUCGGGUUGUAUACCGCUUUUGUAGGGGACGACUAAAAGAAAAAUAAAAACUAAAAAAUGCGGUAUGACGGUACCCUUUCGAAUAAGAGGUUGCUAACUCUGUGCCAGCAGCAGCGGUAAUACAGAGACCUCGAGCGUUAUCCGGAUUUACUGGGCGUAAAGCGUCUGUAGGGGGUUUGUUAAGUUCCAAGUAAAAUCUUAAGGCUCAACUUUAAGUUCGCUUGGAAAACUAAUAAACUGGAGUCCAGCAGAGGUGCAUGGAACUUGCGGUGUAGGAGUGAAAUCCGUUGAUAUCGCAAGGAACACCAAAGGCGAAGGCAUUGCACUGGGCUGGUACUGACCCUGAGAGACGAAAGCGUGGGGAGCAAAACGGAUUAGAUACCCGUGUAGUCCACGCCGUAAACGAUGGAUACUAGAUGUUCGGGGAUUCGACCCCCUGGGUGUCACAGCUAACGCGUUAAGUAUCCCGCCUGGGAAGUACGGCCGCAAGGCUAAAACUCAAAGGAAUAGACGGGGAUCCGCACAAGCGGUGGAGCGUCUGGUUUAAUUUGAUAGUAAGCAAUGGACCUCACCAAGGUUUGACAUCCUAUGACAACCCUGGAAACAGGGCUUCCUUCGGGCAUAGUGACAGGUGCUGCAUGGUCGUCGUCAGUUCGUGCCGUGAGGUGUUCCGUUAAGUCGGGAAACGAACGAAACCCUCGUCGCAUGUUACAAAUUUCAUGCGAGACUGCCCGGGUCAACCGGGAGGAAGGCGGGGAUGACGUCAGAUCAGCAUGGCCCUUAUACCUUGGGCUACACAGGCGCUACAAUGGCCGGUACAAAGGGUUGCAAAACCGCGAGGUGAAGCUAAUCCCAUAAAGCCGGUCCAAGUUCGGAUUGGAGGCUGCAACUCGCCUCCAUGAAGUUGGAAUCGCUAGUAAUCGUGGAUCAGCCAUACCACGGGAAUACGUUCCCGGA